This 468-nucleotide ribosomal RNA is filed under the name uncultured bacterium. RNAcentral describes it as "partial 16S ribosomal RNA". It matches the Rfam family "Bacterial small subunit ribosomal RNA", at positions 28 to 507 of the family's 1533-position model. The record is from RNAcentral.
GACGAACGCUGGCGGCGUGCUUAACACAUGCCAGUCGAACGGAAAGGCCCUGCUUUUGUGGGGUGCUCGAGUGGCGAACGGGUGAGUAACACGUGAGUAACCUGCCCUUGACUUUGGGAUAACUUCAGGAAACUGGGGCUAAUACCGGAUAGGAGCUCCUGCUGCAUGGUGGGGGUUGGAAAGUUUCGGCGGUUGGGGAUGGACUCGCGGCUUAUCAGCUUGUUGGUGGGGUAGUGGCUUACCAAGGCUUUGACGGGUAGCCGGCCUGGGAGGGUGACCGGCCACAUUGGGACUGAGAUACGGCCCAGACUCCUACGGGAGGCAGCAGUGGGGAAUAUUGCACAAUGGGCGGAAGCCUGAUGCAGCAACGCCGCGUGCGGGAUGACGGCCUUCGGGUUGUAAACCGCUUUCGCCUGUGACGAAGCGUGAGUGACGGUAAUGGGUAAAGAAGCACCGGCUAACUACGUG